Long non-coding RNA from Marmota monax (woodchuck), 2070 nucleotides. RefSeq lists it as uncharacterized. Lineage: Eukaryota; Metazoa; Chordata; Mammalia; Rodentia; Sciuridae. The record is from RefSeq and is a predicted model, not a curated record. The transcript has 2 exons.
UAGCCUGGGCGCAAGGGAGCCAUGAGGGCACCGUCCUCCCCGCUCGCAGCCCAGCUCGCAGCCACCUGUCCCGCUGCCUCCGGCCGGCCCCAGAGCCUCUGCCCCGCGCCCACACACCUCCAGGGCACCCUCGGGAGGAUCCCGGCACCGCCCCGGUUUCCUGGACCUGCUAAACUGACCUGCCAUGAUGAAGCAGCAGCUCAGCGGGACACACUGGCCUAGCAUGCUCCAGGCGCUGGGUCCCAUCCCCAGCACCACAGAAAGAAAACAAGCAGAGGAGCCCUUGCAGGCCACGGAGGGAGACAUGGAGGAAGACAGAUUCCGGGAACCCAGGAACCCAGUCUGCAUAGGUGACCAAACAGGCCCCAGGAAGACAGCUGGGAUACACCCGCAGGAAAGCACAAACGAUGGGUCCCUCCAGAGAUGGGUGAACUGGGGCUGACAGGAGAGGCGGUAAAUGGGGUACUGGGUUGGGGGCCACCCAGUGGGCUGAGGAAAGGGGUCCUUGGCCUGGGGCUUGGCCCAGGGAAGUGGGGAUGGGGCAUGGAGUCCCUAGCCCCACCCAACCUCACCUUCAUGGGCAGGCUGGCACCCAGGUACACCAUGAAGAUGGCCACCGCCUGCCACCAGUGGUAGAUGGUAAAGAUGAAGUCCUGCCUCUCCUUGUCCUCAUACAGGAUUCCCAGGAGUGCUGCAAACAGGCGGAAAGGACAAGCAGGAUGCAGGGGUCACCUGGUGCUGGGGACCUCCCCCUGAGACUCUCCUAGGCCCUGCACUGGUCCCCUCCAUGAGUCCCAGAGCACCCGGGCAGCACUUAUGCCAGUCCUUGCCUGCCCUCUAGAGGAGGCCCUGGUUACCCUGCUGCCCAGGGGAGUUCCAGAGGAGAGCUCUAUGCCCAGAAGUCAUGGCCUAGAUCUCAGGUGCCUAGGGCCAAGAGCAAAGGGACCAGGGAGGGCCAACUAUCCACAGCAACCAACUUUCUACAAAUCGACCCUCAAGUGUGGGAGCAGGGGACUUGUUUCCCAAGGACCCUCCCAGGUGGGGGGAAGAAUACUGACAGGGAGUCAGGGGACUCGGACUUGAGCUUCAGGACUGGAAGGUGGAGGUGGGGGUUCAGAGGUGCAGAAAUGUGGAUAUAAACGUUGGCUCCGAGGGUUAUUUGGGUCAAGUGAGUUUAUGCAUAUUCUAUGCUGUUAGAAGUUCUAAAGAGAACAGGCCAGCCUGGCACCUCACAGGUACUGGGAGAUACUUGCUAUUAACACCUCUGCCAGGCUCAGGGAAUGAACACUCCUGUCCUGGGGCUCAUGGGUGACAUUAAAAACCGUUGAUAGCUCUGGCACACCAGAACAGAUGCCAAUGUGGACUACCCACGUGGCUAGACCCAUGUGUAUCAGUAAUUCCCACUGGCAAUACCCCCUCCAUACAGAGGGCAUCACACAGCUGAACUUGGGCUCACUCUGCCUUCUGCUAAUAGGACCCCUUUCCCCAGUGACUCAUCCCUAGCAGCCCAGACCUGGAGACUGCUAGGCGAUUAGGUUAGGAUUCAUGCCUGUUCCUGUCUCUGCGCCACAAAAAGGCCCAGAUCUGGGGCCAUAUGUAUAUCUCAGUGGUAGAACACUUGGCUAGCACGCAUGAGGCCCUAAGUCAAUCCCCAGCAUCCAGGGGGAAGAAAGAAAGGGCCCAGGUCUACACCUGCAUCCUAGGGUAUGGACAGGGCUACCUGCCACUAAUCCCACUGUGCUGGUCCCUCGAGCAUAGACCCCAUCAUCCAGUGUAUGGAAACUCUAUGAAGGCAGCCCCACCCCUGUGAUGAGGAGGAGGUGUCCCCGCUGUGUUUUCCAAUUUCCCUGAAGGCUGGGCACACCCACCCCAUGUGUCCACAAGAUCUCACCCCAUCCCUUGGUGUCUGCAGGGCUCAGUGCCCACCCUGAAGUAUCAACAGAAUGUCCAUACCCCCAGGGCGUCUGGCUCUUCUUCUUCUAUGCCUCCAGUGUGGGUCUGUGGGAUUUCCUUCCACCCCUGGACUGCCCACCUACCUUUACUUCAUAAAACUCCAUGGCAGAUCCCCUA